This is a long non-coding RNA of Zea mays, 439 nucleotides long. RefSeq lists it as uncharacterized. The record is from RefSeq and is a predicted model, not a curated record. The transcript is spliced from 3 exons. NCBI's taxonomy places the organism in Eukaryota, Viridiplantae, Streptophyta, Magnoliopsida, Poales, Poaceae.
UGAAAACAAAAAUUAGUUUGUAAGUAACAAUUCAUUUAGCAACAACAUAUAUUUAUCCUGCUACAGUUAGAUCUGUAAUCAUAUUUGGGUGACUGCUACAGUUAAUACUCCCUUCAUAUUUCCUAUUUAUUCAUCUGCCUUAACCCUUCAUAUUUCCUAUUUAUUCAUCUGGGAUGUGCGGUCGUGGAAUAUUAUUUUUUUGAUUUCAUACUUGAGAUCACAUUUAUCCUGAUAUAGUAUUUUUUGAAUUGAUACUAAAGAGCCUCACUUGUAUGCAUUCUCAUUCAAGAACGGGAGACUGGAUGUUACUGAGAUCUUCAACUUUUCCCAAGAUGAUUUGUUAACUGAAGACAUGAUGAUACUUGACACACAUGGUGAAGUUUUCAUUUGGAUUGGUCAGUAUGUGGAAUCAAAAGAGAAACAGAAGGCAUUUGACAUA